CUAGGAAUCUUGGGAAUGGGCGAAAGCCUGACCCAGCAACGCCGCGUGGGCGAUGAAGGCCUUCGGGUCGUAAAGCCCUUUUGCAGGGGACGAUGAUGACGGUACCUUGCGAAUAAGCCACGGCUAACUACGUGCCAGCAGCCGCGGUAAUACGUAGGUGGCAAGCGUUGUCCGGAUUUACUGGGCGUAAAGGGCGUGCAGGCGGUUUGUUAAGUGCAGGGUGAAAGCUCCCGGCUCAACUGGGAGAGGUCCUUGCAUACUGGCAAACUCGAGGGAGGCAGAGGAAAGUGGAAUUCCCGGUGUAGUGGUGAUAUGCGUAGAUAUCGGGAGGAACACCUGUGGCGAAGGCGGCUUUCUGGGCCUUACCUGACGCUGAGACGCGAAAGCGUGGGGAGCGAACCG
This 402-nucleotide ribosomal RNA is filed under the name uncultured bacterium. Its description in RNAcentral is "bacterial SSU rRNA". It matches the Rfam family "Bacterial small subunit ribosomal RNA", at positions 355 to 775 of the family's 1533-position model. The record is from RNAcentral.